GAUGAACGCUGGCGGCGUGCCUAAUACAUGCAAGUCGAGCGAACAGACGAGGAGCUUGCUUCUCUGACGUUAGCGGCGGACGGGUGAGUAACACGUGGAUAACCUACCUAUAAGACUGGGAUAACUUCGGGAAGCCGGAGCUAAUACCGGAUAAUAUAUUGAACCGCAUGGUUCAAUAGUGAAAGACGGUUUUGCUGUCACUUAUAGAUGGAUCCGCGCCGCAUUAGCUAGUUGGUAAGGUAACGGCUUACCAAGGCAACGAUGCGUAGCCGACCUGAGAGGGUGAUCGGCCACACUGGAACUGAGACACGGUCCAGACUCCUACGGGAGGCAGCAGUAGGGAAUCUUCCGCAAUGGGCGAAAGCCUGACGGAGCAACGCCGCGUGAGUGAUGAAGGUCUUCGGAUCGUAAAACUCUGUUAUUAGGGAAGAACAAAUGUGUAAGUAACUAUGCACGUCUUGACGGUACCUAAUCAGAAAGCCACGGCUAACUACGUG
This 497-nucleotide ribosomal RNA is filed under the name uncultured bacterium. Its description in RNAcentral is "partial 16S ribosomal RNA". It matches the Rfam family "Bacterial small subunit ribosomal RNA", at positions 28 to 507 of the family's 1533-position model. The record is from RNAcentral.